This 58-nucleotide transfer RNA is filed under the name Podagrica fuscipes. Its description in RNAcentral is "tRNA-His". The record is from RNAcentral. Lineage: Eukaryota; Metazoa; Arthropoda; Insecta; Coleoptera; Chrysomelidae.
GCUUUCAAUUAAAAAACUAAUGAUUAUGCUACCUUAGCACAGUCAAAAUACUGCGGCC